RNAcentral lists this ribosomal RNA (495 nucleotides) under uncultured bacterium. RNAcentral describes it as "partial 16S ribosomal RNA". It matches the Rfam family "Bacterial small subunit ribosomal RNA", at positions 28 to 507 of the family's 1533-position model. The record is from RNAcentral.
GACGAACGCUGGCGGCGUGCCUAACACAUGCAAGUAGAACGCUGAAGGAGGAGCUUGCUCUUCUGGAUGAGUUGCGAACGGGUGAGUAACGCGUAGGUAACCUGCCUGGUAGCGGGGGAUAACUAUUGGAAACGAUAGCUAAUACCGCAUAAGAGUAGAUGUUGCAUGACAUUUACUUAAAAGGUGCAAUUGCAUCACUACCAGAUGGACCUGCGUUGUAUUAGCUAGUUGGUGGGGUAACGGCUUACCAAGGCGACGAUACAUAGCCGACCUGAGAGGGUGAUCGGCCACACUGGGACUGAGACACGGCCCAGACUCCUACGGGAGGCAGCAGUAGGGAAUCUUCGGCAAUGGACGGAAGUCUGACCGAGCAACGCCGCGUGAGUGAAGAAGGUUUUCGGAUCGUAAAGCUCUGUUGUAAGAGAAGAACGAGUGUGAGAGUGGAAAGUUCACACUGUGACGGUAUCUUACCAGAAAGGGACGGCUAACUACGUG